RNAcentral lists this long non-coding RNA (1272 nucleotides) under Populus tremula. RNAcentral describes it as "long non-coding RNA (PTRE_LNC000132)". Lineage: Eukaryota; Viridiplantae; Streptophyta; Magnoliopsida; Malpighiales; Salicaceae. The record is from RNAcentral.
AUAAAUUAAAUUCCUUUUUUUUUAUUCAAUAACGUACAUAAAAAAAAUACAAGCACAACAUACAUUUUUUUUUUUUUUUUUUUUAUUAUCACUCUCUUUCUUUUCUUUUUUCUUUUUUUUUUACAUCCACAUUUACAUAAUGCAAAAUAAAAAAUUCAAAACCAAAUAAAAAAACAAUACAUCAAAUAAAUUUUAAAUUACAAAACAGCCCCUAAACAAUCUAGAAACCACUUCUGCACCUCCGGAACAGUGUCAGUCGGAUUUCUAGGCGCAUGAACACCGGCGGCGCGUGGAUCUCACGCACCACCGCCACUGGUGGCGCGUGGAUCCACGCGCCACCACCAAAAAAAAUCCAGCAGCAGGGGGUUCUGGAUCGCUUUCUUCCCCUCUUCAAUCUCCUGCUGCCCGUGAGAAAACUCACCACCUGCAAAUCCAAGAAACUCAAAUGAUAGUUGAUUUUAAUUAAAAAAAUUUUAGAUCUGCUUCUCUUCUUCUUCAAAUCUGCUUCGGAUUUUGCUUCUUCUUGUCCGAUCUGUUCUUGCUUCUUCUUUCUGUUUCAGGCGACGGUGGAGUGGUGGGUGUCGCCGCUGCAAGGCUGAUCGGACGAAGAUGAAGAAGACAUCGGGGUUGCUGCUGGAGGCCGAUCUGCGCCGAUGAAGGAAGCUUUGCUGCGGGCUGGAAGGAGACUUUGCUGCUGUUGUCGUCUGCUCAGCUGACUUCGUUGUGGGGAAGAGAGCAGCUGUUGGUCAGGGAGGCUGAGAGAUCGGUGGCGGCGGCUGCGGUGAGAGGAGAAAGCUCCCUCCUGUCCGGCGUGUGGUUGAGAGCUUGCAGUAAGGGAGAGAGUGUCCGGCCGGCCAAUCGGUUGAGGUAGAAAAAAAAUGGGAGAUGGAGGCCUUGCGGCUGCUGGAAAUACCGAUUGAAGAAGAAAAAGCAAAGCUGAGGGAGGCAGCGUUUUCUUCAAAAGAAAGGGGAAGCUGGCCGGUUCUUUUUUUUAUUAUUUCUUGUGGGUGAGGGGUGAGUUGAAGAUGAGAGUGUGCUGGUUUCCCUUUGGAUCUGGGGUGAACGGCUGGACAAAAAAAAAAUAAAUUCAGGGUGGGGGGCGGCUGGUAGCCUCUUCGUGAGGGAGAGUUGGCUUUUUGCAGGUGAGGGACUCCGUGGGUCUCUGCCCCUGCUCUCGGGACCCCUCAAAAAAUCAAAUCCCCCCUCCUCUGGUGUCCAGAAUCUGAUGAGAAGAAAUAGGGGUUCUCCUCACCUCCAUUGUCGGUUGGAAAC